UCAGAUUGAACGCUGGCGGCAGGCCUAACACAUGCAAGUCGAGCGGUAGAGAGAAGCUUGCUUCUCUUGAGAGCGGCGGACGGGUGAGUAAUGCCUAGGAAUCUGCCUGGUAGUGGGGGAUAACGUUCGGAAACGAACGCUAAUACCGCAUACGUCCUACGGGAGAAAGCAGGGGACCUUCGGGCCUUGCGCUAUCAGAUGAGCCUAGGUCGGAUUAGCUAGUUGGUGAGGUAAUGGCUCACCAAGGCGACGAUCCGUAACUGGUCUGAGAGGAUGAUCAGUCACACUGGAACUGAGACACGGUCCAGACUCCUACGGGAGGCAGCAGUGGGGAAUAUUGGACAAUGGGCGAAAGCCUGAUCCAGCCAUGCCGCGUGUGUGAAGAAGGUCUUCGGAUUGUAAAGCACUUUAAGUGGGAGGAAGGGCAGUUACCUAAUACGUGAUUGUUUUGACGUUACCGACAGAAUAAGCACCGGCUAACUCUGUGC
This 488-nucleotide ribosomal RNA is filed under the name Pseudomonas sp. Its description in RNAcentral is "bacterial SSU rRNA". It matches the Rfam family "Bacterial small subunit ribosomal RNA", at positions 24 to 508 of the family's 1533-position model. Lineage: Bacteria; Pseudomonadati; Pseudomonadota; Gammaproteobacteria; Pseudomonadales; Pseudomonadaceae. The record is from RNAcentral.